CUGGGAGCUAACGAUCUGCUAACAAGGCUGAUAAGAAACCUGUGGAGACAGAGUGAGCGGUAAAUUGCGAUGGUUGGAGGUAGGGUGUGGAGGUCUACAAGUAUCUGAACAUGUGGUAGGGGUGGAAUUAAAGCAAAGAAGGCUGGAUAAGGAGUGAAGGCAGGAUGUUUGGUGUUGCAGGUCACUCAGUAAGAGCUGGCCUGCAGCCCUGCUGUUUCUACUGCUGCACUGAGGAUGGAAGUGGAGGUUUUGGUGCUCCAUGAGGCUCAGCAAGCUGGGGACAGUCUGCCCAGCCAGCAGGAAAGGGAAAGUUCCCCAGCACAGGGCUGUUUGCUGCAAACCUCAUCAUGAAGCAAACCCUGAGUCCUGUUUAAAAAGAUAUGAUUCAUCUUGCUUGAAUUUGUUCUUUCUAUUGUUUCAGUUUGUCUGUGCCUUCAGGCAUGCAGCUGAUGCCUGGAAGGAAGGAUGCACCUCCGAUCGCCCAGAGUCCUGAUUCGCUCUGUGUGUGUUGUAUUUGCUUCUGCAUGGCACUCAAUUGUUGCAGCACUUCCAGCCUGGCCUCAAACCUUCAAUCUUCAUCCCUCACUGGGCUGAGAGUGGUUUUGCUCAAGCAGAUUACAAGGUGAAGUUGCCCUGAGUGCAAGCCAGCAGCGCUGCUCCAUGGCAGCAGUGCAGGUGGUAGCAUCGGCAGCAGGAGGCAUCAAGCUGUGUCCAGCCGCAGCAUCAAACUUGCUUCAACAGGAACUAGAGGACUGGCCAGAAAAACCCUUGGCCUUGAGUGCUUCCAGGGAGGAGUCUGCAUACACACUCAGUUUCUGACUGCCUGCUGGCCAGUGUAAUCUGCAUGUUGGUGAAUCCAGCCUAUGCCAACUUAAACACGAGUUUUGUCUAAAGUUUAUGUCUGUUUCUGGAGAGUACCUGGCUGAAGUGUCUUUUCUUCAUUUGAAAUAAAAAUGUGUAUAUUGAAAGAUGCAAAAGACGUUCAAGAAAUGCACAAAUCAUUGUUUGAGGCAGGCUGAGCAGUGGGACUGAGUUAAGUAAUGGAUAGCAUCUGUUUUGAUUUUUGAGGGUUUCUAAACUGUAUAGUUACACUAAACAAUUUUGAGUAAAGAAAUCUUUCCUAGGUAGCUUCCAAUUUAUCCCUUUGCUUGCUCAAUCAGUAUUGCUGUGCUCUGCCAAACAUCAGUGCAGUUGUGUGACUAUAGCUGACACUUUUAGCUAGAUCAACCAAUGCUUUCUCAUGUUGCAAUAUAUAUAUAUAAGUAAAUAGAUUCAGGGACAAAUUGUCCAACAAGAAUCUGUAGCACAGAAGGGAUUCUGGAGUCAUCUUCAAAGCGUAUAUUGAUAUUUUUAAAAUGACCUAUGAGUGUCCCUCUAUUUUGCAGGGAGUGCAGAGGGAUUUUCAGUAUGAUAGUUAGGUUAUUAAAUUACUGUUGGAAAUGUGGAGCUGACCUCCAGUGGCAAGUAUUUCCGUGAAAACAUUGGCAUACACUUCAUUUGGUGAACUUUCGUCUAUUGUUUCUUUUCUAAAAUCAAAAUAAACCAUAGAAAUACA
This is a long non-coding RNA of Neopsephotus bourkii (Bourke's parrot), 1555 nucleotides long. RefSeq lists it as uncharacterized. The transcript is spliced from 2 exons. The record is from RefSeq and is a predicted model, not a curated record. NCBI's taxonomy places the organism in Eukaryota, Metazoa, Chordata, Aves, Psittaciformes, Psittacidae.